This is a long non-coding RNA of Lactuca sativa (garden lettuce), 454 nucleotides long. RefSeq lists it as uncharacterized. Lineage: Eukaryota; Viridiplantae; Streptophyta; Magnoliopsida; Asterales; Asteraceae. The record is from RefSeq and is a predicted model, not a curated record.
UUACAUUUCAAUAUUUCCUCCUGCCUUUGACGUUACCUAGUUACCUUCCAGCAAGUGACUGAUCGCAAAUAAACAACCUACCCUUAAGAGUUCGUCAAGAAACAUCUUAGAAGCGAUGGGUUUUCAGUUAUGAUACAUGACCACUUCGCACCUGAAAAAUGAAAUUCUUAGCAAGGUUGGAAGUGAUUAGGAGCCAGGGGUAGUCUCGUCCAACACCACAAAGUUGGUCAAGAAACAUCCAAAGAGCAGUGUCUGUGCAGGUACCUCUUCAGCUAGGGGAAAGGAGCCAGCGCGGUAGCGGCAUAUCACACACACUCUUGUUUCCGCAGUUAUGAGUUUAUUCUGGGAUUGAUACUCUGAUAUUUUGGUUGUUUACAUGUUGUGGAUUUCAAAUUUGGGUUUUCGAUGUGAAAUGGUUUAAUUAAACAAUGUUUUAAUUAUUAAUGUUUUCUAA